UACGUAGGGGGCAAGCGUUGUCCGGAUUUACUGGGUGUAAAGGGCGUGUAGCCGGGCUGACAAGUCAGAUGUGAAAUUCCGGGGCUCAACCCCGGACCUGCAUUUGAAACUGUUGGUCUUGAGUAUCGGAGAGGCAGGCGGAAUUCCUAGUGCAGCGGUGAAAUGCGUAGAUAUUAGGAGGAACACCAGUGGCGAAGGCGGCCUGCUGGACGACAACUGACGGUGAGGCGCGAAAGCGUGGGGAGCAAACAGG
Molecule: ribosomal RNA, 253 nt
Filed under: uncultured bacterium
Lineage: Bacteria
Description: partial 16S ribosomal RNA
Rfam family: Bacterial small subunit ribosomal RNA
Source: RNAcentral